GGCUAGGAACAGCCAUAUUUAUACAAUAUCGCAAAUAUAGCUGCUCUUAUUUGUUACAGUUAAUUAUAGUGUAUACAGAAGAUUUCAUCCUCAGACAAACUGGUACAACACAUGGGAUAAUGUAAUUUAAUAGUCGGACCUAAUUUCCUUUGUGCAAUAGAUCUGGCUUGUAUGACAGAUUUACCCGAUCUUUUCUUGUGUAGAAGGCAGUGUGUAAUAUUUAAUUUAAAGUACAGACAAUAGGGAAU
Non-coding RNA from Pelobates cultripes (western spadefoot toad), 248 nucleotides. Lineage: Eukaryota; Metazoa; Chordata; Amphibia; Anura; Pelobatidae. The record is from the annotation of a GenBank genome assembly.